RNAcentral lists this long non-coding RNA (525 nucleotides) under Pan troglodytes (chimpanzee). RNAcentral's name for it is "long non-coding RNA NONPTRT008598". Lineage: Eukaryota; Metazoa; Chordata; Mammalia; Primates; Hominidae. The record is from RNAcentral.
CCGCGAUGGUGAGCCCCCGACACGGACCCACAGACACGAGCUUGUGUGCGGCGAAGGCCCCGCAAGGUCGGUUCUACGGGUGGGUGCCAGGACCCAGGAGUCCGGGCUUCAAAGGGAGAAAGAUGCCGGAGCCUGAACGCUUGGGUUCUAGAGGAACAGAGGGUUGGGGGCCGCGCUCCUUGGGAAGAGGGGCUGAGGUUCUGAACUCUGGGGUUUUGAAGGAGUUAGGGGCUGGAGUGUGGAUUCCCUGGUCUGAGAGAACAGACUGGGGGCUCAGACUCCUGGAUCCUGGAAAAAAGGGGGCUGGGGGCUCGGAUUUUGGAAUGGGUGGGGGACUGGGUGGUGUACUCCCAGAUCUGAGGGAGGAGGGGUCUGGGACCUGGAAUCCCGAGUCCCCGAGGGAGCAUGGAUGCUGGGCCUCUCCUCCUCCAGACAUCUCCUGCCCCCGCCGCUGACCCUGGCCUGUCUGGCAGCCCAGACAACCUCCCCCUCCUCCUCGGCCCCCUCCCACUGGCACGGCUCACA